Aspergillus aculeatus ATCC 16872 is the source of this 91-nucleotide transfer RNA. It matches the Rfam family "tRNA". Rfam says of the family: Transfer RNA (tRNA) molecules are approximately 80 nucleotides in length. Their secondary structure includes four short double-helical elements and three loops (D, anti-codon, and T loops). Lineage: Eukaryota; Fungi; Ascomycota; Eurotiomycetes; Eurotiales; Aspergillaceae. The record is from Rfam.
GGCAAGAUGGCCGAGUGGUCUAAGGCGCUAGUUUUAGGAACUUCCGAAACACUAGUUCGAAAGAGCGUGGGUUCGAAUCCCACUCUUGUCA